AGUGAACGCUGGCGGUAGGCCUAACACAUGCAAGUCGAACGGCAGCACAGUAAGAGCUUGCUCUUACGGGUGGCGAGUGGCGGACGGGUGAGGAAUACAUCGGAAUCUACUUUUUCGUGGGGGAUAACGUAGGGAAACUUACGCUAAUACCGCAUACGACCUACGGGUGAAAGCAGUGGAUCUUCGGACCUUGCGCGAUUGAAUGAGCCGAUGUCGGAUUAGCUAGUUGGCGGGGUAAAGGCCCACCAAGGCGACGAUCCGUAGCUGGUCUGAGUGGAUGGUCAGCCACACUGGAACUGAGACACGGACCAGACUCCUACGGGAGGCAGCAGUGGGGAAUAUUGGGCAAUGGGCGCAAGCAUGAUCCAGCCAUACCGCGUGGGUGAAGAAGGCCUUCGGGUUGGAAAGACCUUUUGUUGGGAAAGAAAAGCAGCAGGUUAAUACCCCGCUGUUCUGACGGUACCCAAAGAAUAAGCACCGGCUAACUUCGUG
RNAcentral lists this ribosomal RNA (492 nucleotides) under uncultured bacterium. RNAcentral describes it as "partial 16S ribosomal RNA". It matches the Rfam family "Bacterial small subunit ribosomal RNA", at positions 29 to 507 of the family's 1533-position model. The record is from RNAcentral.